GCUGGGCGUGGUGGUGCAUGCCUGUAAUCCUAACUACUUGGGAGGCUGAGGCAGGAGGAUCGCUUGAGCCCAGUAGGUGGAGGUUGCAGUGAGCUGAGAUCUUGCCACUGCACUCCAGCCUGGGUGACAGAGCGAGACCCUGUCUCAA
This is a non-coding RNA of Pan troglodytes (chimpanzee), 148 nucleotides long. It matches the Rfam family "Metazoan signal recognition particle RNA". Rfam says of the family: The signal recognition particle (SRP) is a universally conserved ribonucleoprotein. The record is from Rfam. Lineage: Eukaryota; Metazoa; Chordata; Mammalia; Primates; Hominidae.